RNAcentral lists this ribosomal RNA (488 nucleotides) under uncultured bacterium. RNAcentral's name for it is "bacterial SSU rRNA". It matches the Rfam family "Bacterial small subunit ribosomal RNA", at positions 15 to 518 of the family's 1533-position model. The record is from RNAcentral.
GAUCAUGGCUCAGGAUUAACGCUGGCGGCGUGCCUAAUACAUGCAAGUCGAAUGGUAGUAGCAAUACAAACCAUGGCGAACGGGUGAGUAACACGUAGGUAACCUGUCUUUAAGACGAGGAUAACCAUUGGAAACGAUGGAUAAUACUGGAUAGGACAUCAUAAAGGGCAUCCUUAGAUGUUUAAAGAUUAUUAUGUCACUUAGAGAGGGGCCUGCGGCGCAUUAGCUAGUUGGUGAGGUAAAAGCCCACCAAGGCGAUGAUGCGUAGCCGGACUGAGAGGUUGAACGGCCACAAUGGAACUGAGAACGGUCCAUACUCCUACGGGAGGCAGCAGUAGGGAAUUUUCGGCAAUGGGCGCAAGCCUGACCGAGCAACGCCGCGUGAACGAAGAAGUUAUUCGUAAUGUAAAGUUCUUUUAUCUGGGAAGAAAAAACAAAUUGACGGUACCAGAUGAAUAAGCUCCGGCUAACUACGUGCCAGCAGCCGC